AGGAUGAAGGGUUUGAUCCUGGCUCAGGGUUAACGCUGGCGGCGUGCGUAACACAUGCAAGUCGAACGGGCCAUUACUCUUUGGAGUGAUGGUUAGUGGCGAACGGGUGAGUAAAAGGUAGGGACCUACCCCGAGGACAGAGAUAGCUACUGGAAACGGUAGGUAAACUCUGAUAAGCCCGAGAGGGGAAAGUGGAAGGCAGCCUUGGGAUGGACCUACUAUCCAUCAGGUAGUUGGUGAGGUAAAGGCUCACCAAGCCGAUGACGGAUAACCGGUGUGAGAGCAUGUACGGUCACAAGGGCACUGAGACACGGGCCCUACUCCUACGGGAGGCAGCAGUGGGGAAUAUUGGACAAUGGGCGAAAGCCUGAUCCAGCGACGCCGCGUGAAGGAAGAAGUCCUUCGGGAUGUAAACUUCUGAACUAAUCGAAUAAAAGGGUAGUGGACACACUACAGAAGAAGGUAGAUUAGGAAAAGUCCCGGCUAACUACGUGCCAGCAGCCGCGGUAAGACGUAGGGGGCGAGCGUUGCCCGGAAUCACUGGGUGUAAAGGGGACGUAGGCGGAUGAUCAAGUCAUCUGUGAAAAGAUUGCUCAACGAUUGGCUUGCGGAUGAAACUGGUCAUCUUGGGCGUAGCAGAGGUAGACGGAAUUACCUGAGUAGGGGUGAAAUCCGCAGAUACAGGUAAGAACGCCGGUGAAGAAGUUGGUCUACUAGGCUACAGCUGACGCUGAGGUCCGAAAGCCAGGGGAGCGAACCGGAUUAGAUACCCGGGUAGUCCUGGCUGUAAACGAUGCUCACUAGGUGUAGGGAGCGAAAGACUCUCUGUGCUGAAGCUAACGCGAUAAGUGAGCCACCUGGGGAGUACGUCCGCAAGGAUGAAACUCAAAGGAAUUGACGGGGGUCCGCACAAGCGGUGGAGCAUGUGGUUUAAUUCGAAGCUAACCGAAGAACCUUACCAGGGAUUGACAUGUAACUGAAGGUAGAGAAAUCUACUGGCCUGCCGUGAGGUAGGAGGUUACACAGGUGGUGCACGGUCGUCGUCAGCUCGUGCCGUGAGGUGUUGGGUUAAGUCCCACAACGAGCGCAACCCCUACAAUUAGUUACCAGCAAGUAAAGUUGGGGACACUAAUUGGACAGCCGCCGACGAGGCGGAGGAAGGAGGGGAUGACGUCAGAUAAGCGUGCCCCUUAUACUCUGGGCGACACACGUGCUACAAUGGGGAGGACAAAGGGAAGCGAAGCCGAGAGGUGGAGCGGAUCCGAAAAAACUCUCCGUAAUAUGGAUUGUAGGCUGAAACUCGCCUACAUGAAGCUGGAAUCGCUAGUAAUCGCAGGUCAGCCAAACUGCGGUGAAUACGUUCCCGGGCCUUGUACACACCGCCCGUCACGCCACCCGAGUUGGGAACACCUGAAGGCAGUACGGAAGGUACUGUUGAAGGUGGGCUUGGCGAGGGGGGCGAAGUCGUAACAAGGUAGGUGUACCGGAAGGUGCGCCUGGAUCACCUCCUUUCUAAGGAGA
RNAcentral lists this ribosomal RNA (1521 nucleotides) under Petrotoga sibirica DSM 13575. RNAcentral's name for it is "bacterial SSU rRNA". It matches the Rfam family "Bacterial small subunit ribosomal RNA". The record is from RNAcentral. Lineage: Bacteria; Thermotogati; Thermotogota; Thermotogae; Petrotogales; Petrotogaceae.